UGAGGAAUAUUGGUCAAUGGGCGAGAGCCUGAACCAGCCAUGCCGCGUGCAGGAAGAAUGCCCUAUGGGUUGUAAACUGCUUUUAUCAGGGAAUAAACCUCAGAACGUGUUCUGAGCUGAAGGUACCUGAUGAAUAAGCACCGGCUAACUCCGUGCCAGCAGCCGCGGUAAUACGGAGGGUGCAAGCGUUAUCCGGAAUCAUUGGGUUUAAAGGGUCCGCAGGCGGAUUUAUAAGUCAGUGGUGAAAGCCUAUUGCUCAACAAUAGAACUGCCAUUGAUACUGUAAGUCUUGAAUUCGGUCGAAGUGGGCGGAAUAUGACAUGUAGCGGUGAAAUGCUUAGAUAUGUCAUAGAACACCGAUAGCGAAGGCAGCUCACUAGGCCUGGAUUGACGCUCAGGGACGAAAGCGUGGGGAGCAAACAGG
RNAcentral lists this ribosomal RNA (424 nucleotides) under uncultured bacterium. Its description in RNAcentral is "bacterial SSU rRNA". It matches the Rfam family "Bacterial small subunit ribosomal RNA", at positions 355 to 776 of the family's 1533-position model. The record is from RNAcentral.